This 445-nucleotide ribosomal RNA is filed under the name uncultured bacterium. RNAcentral describes it as "partial 16S ribosomal RNA". It matches the Rfam family "Bacterial small subunit ribosomal RNA", at positions 354 to 796 of the family's 1533-position model. The record is from RNAcentral.
GUAAGGAAUAUUGGUCAAUGGAGGGAACUCUGAACCAGCCAUGCCGCGUGCAGGAAGACUGCCCUAUGGGUUGUAAACUGCUUUUGUCUGGGAAUAAAUGUAAGUACGAGUACUUAUUUGAAUGUACCAGAAGAAUAAGGAUCGGCUAACUCCGUGCCAGCAGCCGUGGUAAUACGGAGGAUCCGAGCGUUAUCCGGAUUUAUUGGGUUUAAAGGGUGCGUAGGCGGCUUUAUAAGUCAGAGGUGAAAUACGGCAGCUCAACUGUCGCAGUGCCUUUGAUACUGUAGAGCUUGAAUGUGAUUGAAGAUGGCGGAAUGAGACAAGUAGCGGUGAAAUGCAUAGAUAUGUCUCAGAACCCCGAUUGCGAAGGCAGCUGUCUAAGUCAUGAUUGACGCUGAUGCACGAAAGCGUGGGGAUCAAACAGGAUUAGAAACCCUGGUAGUCC